ACAGCAGCAGCCGCGGUAAUACGAAGGGUGCAAGCGUUACUCGGAAUUACUGGGCGUAAAGCGUGCGUAGGUGGUGGUUUAAGUCCGUUGUGAAAGCCCUGGACUCAACCUGGGAAUUGCAGUGGAUACUGGGUCACUAGAGUGUGGUAGAGGAUAGUGGAAUUUCCGGUGUAGCAGUGAAAUGCGUAGAGAUCGGAAGGAACAUCUGUGGCGAAGGCGACUAUCUGGGCCAACACUGACACUGAGGCACGAAAGCGUGGGGAGCAAACAGGAUUAGAUACCCGCGUAGUCCCUGUCUCUUAUAC
This 305-nucleotide ribosomal RNA is filed under the name uncultured bacterium. RNAcentral describes it as "partial 16S ribosomal RNA". It matches the Rfam family "Bacterial small subunit ribosomal RNA", at positions 505 to 807 of the family's 1533-position model. The record is from RNAcentral.